Molecule: ribosomal RNA, 428 nt
Filed under: Bacteroidota bacterium
Lineage: Bacteria; Pseudomonadati; Bacteroidota
Description: Bacteroidetes bacterium partial 16S ribosomal RNA
Rfam family: Bacterial small subunit ribosomal RNA
Source: RNAcentral
UAGGGAAUCUUCCGCAAUGGACGCAAGUCUGACGGAGCAACGCCGCGUGAGUGAAGAAGGAUUUCGGUUCGUAAAACUCUGUUGUUAGAGAAGAACAGCGCAUAGAGUAACUGUUAUGCGUGUGACGGUAUCUAACCAGAAAGCCACGGCUAACUACGUGCCAGCAGCCGCGGUAAUACGUAGGUGGCAAGCGUUGUCCGGAUUUAUUGGGCGUAAAGCGAGCGCAGGCGGUCAAUUAAGUCUGAUGUGAAAGGCAGUGGCUCAACCAUUGUAGGCUUUGGAAACUGUUUAACUUGAGUGCAGAAGGGGAGAGUGGAAUUCCAUGUGUAGCGGUGAAAUGCGUAGAUAUAUGGAGGAACACCGGUGGCGAAAGCGGCUCUCUGGUCUGUAACUGACGCUGAGGCUCGAAAGCGUGGGGAGCGAACAGG